UCAGGACGAACGCUGGCGGCGUGCUUAACACAUGCAAGUCGAGCGAUGAAGCUCCUCGGGAGUGGAUAGCGGCGGACGGGUGAGUAACACGUGGGUAACCUGCCUCAUAGAGGGGAAUAGCCUUUCGAAAGGAAGAUUAAUACCGCAUAAGAUUGUAGUACCGCAUGGUACAGCAAUUAAAGGAGUAAUCCGCUAUGAGAUGGACCCGCGUCGCAUUAGCUAGUUGGUGAGGUAACGGCUCACCAAGGCGACGAUGCGUAGCCGACCUGAGAGGGUGAUCGGCCACAUUGGGACUGAGACACGGCCCAGACUCCUACGGGAGGCAGCAGUGGGGAAUAUUGCACAAUGGGGGAAACCCUGAUGCAAGCAACGCCGCGUGAGUGAUGACGGUCUUCGGAUUGUAAAGCUCUGUCUUUAGGGACGAUAAUGACGGUACCUAAGGAGGAAGCCACGGCUAACUACGUGCCAGCAGCCGC
RNAcentral lists this ribosomal RNA (476 nucleotides) under uncultured bacterium. RNAcentral's name for it is "bacterial SSU rRNA". It matches the Rfam family "Bacterial small subunit ribosomal RNA", at positions 24 to 518 of the family's 1533-position model. The record is from RNAcentral.